Molecule: ribosomal RNA, 494 nt
Filed under: uncultured bacterium
Lineage: Bacteria
Description: partial 16S ribosomal RNA
Rfam family: Bacterial small subunit ribosomal RNA
Source: RNAcentral
GACGAACGCUGGCGGCGUGCUUAACACAUGCAAGUCGAACGGAAAGGCCUGCUUUCCCUUGUGGAUUGCGGGUACUCGAGUGGCGAACGGGUGAGUAACACGGGAGUGAUCUGCCCCCAACUUGGGUAUAAGCCUGGGAAACUGGGUCUAAUUCCCGAUAGGACUGCAGGGUGGUGCCUGUGGUGGAAAACGAUUUUCUAGUGGUUGGGGAUGAGCUCGCGGCCUAUCAGCUUGUUGGUGGGGUAAUGGCCUACCAAGGCGGCGACGGGUAGCCGGCCUGAGAGGGUGGACGGCCACAUUGGGACUGAGAUACGGCCCAGACUCCUACGGGAGGCAGCAGUGGGGAAUAUUGCACAAUGGGCGGAAGCCUGAUGCAGCGACGCCGCGUGGGGGAUGACGGCCUUCGGGUUGUAAACUCCUUUCGACCGCGAGGAAGCCACCUGGUUGGAAGGGUGGUGACGGUAGUGGUAGAAGAAGCACCGGCUAACUACGUG